CCUACGGGAGGCAGCAGUGAGGAAUAUUGGUCAAUGGACGAGAGCCUGAACCAGCCAAGUAGCGUGAAUGAUGACUGCCCUAUGGGUUGUAAACUUCUUUUAUAUGGGAAUAAAACAGGGUAUGCAUACCCUCUUGUAUGUACCAUAUGAAUACGGAUCGGCUAACUCCGUGCCAGCAGCCGCGGUAAUACGGAGGAUCCGAGCGUUAUCCGGAUUUAUUGGGUUUAAAGGGAGCGUAGGUGGAUUGUUAAGUCAGUUGUGAAAGUUUGCGGCUCAACCGGAAAAUUGCAGUUGAAACUGGCAGUCUUGAGUACAGUAGAGGUGGGCGGAAUUCGAGGUGUAGCGGUGAAAUGCUUAGAUAUCACGAAGAACUCCGAUUGCGAAGGCAGCUCACUGGACUGCAACUGACACUGAUGCUCGAAAGUGUGGGUAUCAAACAGGAUUAGAUACCCGAGUAGUC
Molecule: ribosomal RNA, 460 nt
Filed under: uncultured bacterium
Lineage: Bacteria
Description: partial 16S ribosomal RNA
Rfam family: Bacterial small subunit ribosomal RNA
Source: RNAcentral